This 648-nucleotide ribosomal RNA is filed under the name Malassezia slooffiae. Its description in RNAcentral is "LSU rRNA". It matches the Rfam family "Eukaryotic large subunit ribosomal RNA", at positions 34 to 664 of the family's 3401-position model. Lineage: Eukaryota; Fungi; Basidiomycota; Malasseziomycetes; Malasseziales; Malasseziaceae. The record is from RNAcentral.
UUGCAUUCCAUAGCGGAGGAAAAGAAACUAACAAGGAUUCCCCUAGUAACGGCGAGCGAAGCGGGAAGAGCUCAAAUUUGAAAGCUGGCACCUCCGGUGUCCGCGUUGUAAUUUCGAGACGUGUUUUCCGCGUGGCGCCAUGGACAAGUUCCCUGGAAUGGGACAUCGUAGAGGGUGAAAAUCCCGUACUUGCCAUGGACGUACCAUGCUUUGCGAUACACGCUCCAAGAGUCGAGUAGUUUGGGAUUGCUGCUCAAAAUGGGUGGUAGACUCCAUCUAAAGCUAAAUAUCGGGGAGAGACCGAUAGCGAACAAGUACCGUGAGGGAAAGAUGAAAAGCACUUUGGAAAGAGAGUUAAAAGUACGUGAAAUUGUCGAAAUGGAAGCGCUUGAAGUCAGCCAUGCGGCUGGGGACUCACCUUGGCGUCUCGCUGAGGGUAUUUCUCCAGUAGCAAGUCAGCAUUGGUUUGCGGCGCCGGAGAAGGGUCCAGGGAAGGUGGCACCCUCGGGUGUGUUAUAGCCCUGGAACUGGAUACGGCGCGGCGGACCAAGGAACGCAGUGUGCCCUCGUGGCGGGUCUUCGGACACCUUCACACUUAGGAUGCUGGCGUAAUGGCUUUAAGCGGCCCGUCUUGAACCCGGGGACCAA